UGCGUAGGUGGCGAGGUAAGUCGGAUGUGAAAUCUCGGAGCUCAACUCCGAAACUGCAUUGGAAACUGCUUUGCUCGAGGGUUGGAGGGGGGACUGGAAUACUUGGUGUAGCAGUGAAAUGCGUAGAUAUCAAGUGGAACACCAGUGGCGUAAGCGAGUCCCUGGACAACUCCUGACACUGAGGCACGAAAGCUAGGGGAGCAAACA
RNAcentral lists this ribosomal RNA (207 nucleotides) under uncultured Verrucomicrobiota bacterium. RNAcentral describes it as "uncultured Verrucomicrobia bacterium partial 16S ribosomal RNA". It matches the Rfam family "Bacterial small subunit ribosomal RNA", at positions 568 to 774 of the family's 1533-position model. The record is from RNAcentral. Lineage: Bacteria; Pseudomonadati; Verrucomicrobiota.